AACGUAGGAGGCGAGCGUUAUCCGGAUUUACUGGGCGUAAAGCGCGUGCAGGCGGUUCGGUAAGUUGGAUGUGAAAGCUCCUGGCUCAACUGGGAGAGGUCGUUCAAUACUGCUGGACUUGAGGAUGGUAGAGGGAGGUGGAAUUCCGGGUGUAGUGGUGAAAUGCGUAGAUAUCCGGAGGAACACCAGUGGCGAAAGCGGCCUCCUGGACCAUUUCUGACGCUCAGACGCGAAAGCUAGGGGAG
RNAcentral lists this ribosomal RNA (245 nucleotides) under uncultured bacterium. Its description in RNAcentral is "partial 16S ribosomal RNA". It matches the Rfam family "Bacterial small subunit ribosomal RNA", at positions 524 to 768 of the family's 1533-position model. The record is from RNAcentral.